RNAcentral lists this ribosomal RNA (253 nucleotides) under uncultured bacterium. RNAcentral describes it as "partial 16S ribosomal RNA". It matches the Rfam family "Bacterial small subunit ribosomal RNA", at positions 524 to 776 of the family's 1533-position model. The record is from RNAcentral.
UACGGAGGGAGCUAGCGUUGUUCGGAAUUACUGGGCGUAAAGGGCUCGUAGGCGGCCAACUAAGUCAGACGUGAAAUCCCUCGGCUUAACCGGGGAACUGCGUCUGAUACUGGAUGGCUUGAGAUUGGGAGAGGGAUGCGGAAUUCCAGGUGUAGCGGUGAAAUGCGUAGAUAUCUGGAGGAACACCGGUGGCGAAGGCGACAUCCUGGACCAACACUGACGCUGAGGAGCGAAAGCCAGGGGAGCAAACGGG